UACACAAAAAUGCACAUACUGUGAGCUCGAUGAGUAGGGCGGGACACGUGGUAUCCUGUCUGAAUAUGGGGGGACCAUCCUCCAAGGCUAAAUACUCCUGACUGACCGAUAGUGAACCAGUACCGUGAGGGAAAGGCGAAAAGAACCCCGGCGAGGGGAGUGAAAAAGAACCUGAAACCGUGUACGUACAAGCAGUGGGAGCCUCUUAAUGGGGUGACUGCGUACCUUUUGUAUAAUGGGUCAGCGACUUAUAUUCUGUAGCAAGGUUAACCGAAUAGGGGAGCCGAAGGGAAACCGAGUCUUAACUGGGCGUUAAGUUGCAGGGUAUAGACCCGAAACCCGGUGAUCUAGCCAUGGGCAGGUUGAAGGUUGGGUAACACUAACUGGAGGACCGAACCGACUAAUGUUGAAAAAUUAGCGGAUGACUUGUGGCUGGGGGUGAAAGGCCAAUCAAACCGGGAGAUAGCUGGUUCUCCCCGAAAGCUAUUUAGGUAGCGCCUCGUGAAUUCAUCUCCGGGGGUAGAGCACUGUUUCGGCAAGGGGGUCAUCCCGACUUACCAACCCGAUGCAAACUGCGAAUACCGGAGAAUGUUAUCACGGGAGACACACGGCGGGUGCUAACGUCCGUCGUGAAGAGGGAAACAACCCAGACCGCCAGCUAAGGUCCCAAAGUCAUGGUUAAGUGGGAAACGAUGUGGGAAGGCCCAGACAGCCAGGAUGUUGGCUUAGAAGCAGCCAUCAUUUAAAGAAAGCGUAAUAGCUCACUGGUCGAGUCGGCCUGCGCGGAAGAUGUAACGGGGCUAAACCAUGCACCGAAGCUGCGGCAGCGACACUAUGUGUUGUUGGGUAGGGGAGCG
RNAcentral lists this ribosomal RNA (857 nucleotides) under Escherichia coli. RNAcentral's name for it is "partial 23S ribosomal RNA". It matches the Rfam family "Bacterial large subunit ribosomal RNA", at positions 376 to 1238 of the family's 2925-position model. The record is from RNAcentral. Lineage: Bacteria; Pseudomonadati; Pseudomonadota; Gammaproteobacteria; Enterobacterales; Enterobacteriaceae.